Molecule: long non-coding RNA, 1189 nt
Organism: Triticum aestivum (bread wheat)
Lineage: Eukaryota; Viridiplantae; Streptophyta; Magnoliopsida; Poales; Poaceae
Exons: 3
Source: RefSeq, a predicted model, not a curated record
AUUCUCGUUCUAAAAACAAGAAGUUCAUCGCGAUCUCCGUCCAACUCCUCCCCCAGAUCACGCUCGCCGGAGUGCUCCGCCGUGUAAUCUAGUCCCCCACCUCCCAAACUCUCGCCUGAUUCGAGCGCGCGGACGGGGGGUUGCUUUCGAUGCACCGGCGUCGGCGCGAGCGGUCGGGCAGGCGGUGGCCGGAGCAUUGCGCCGGCGGCCGCCUGAGAUGGGGAGGAAGACGGAGUCCAGGCGUCGGCGUGCGCCCCUUCUUUUCUUCCCGCGCGGUGCACCAGCGAUGGCUGGAAGGGGGUGGGUGGAGCGGUGCAUCAAGCGCACUGUUCGAAGAUUCGUUGUACGUACAAGCUUAUGCAAACAUAGGAAAAACUUCAUAGUUACUUGGAACCAAUAUCCUAAAUUAAGAAAUGUACUUUGCCAAUCUGCUUGGAACCUUGGAUGCUGUUCGGAAAGGAGAGAUGGGACAGUUUUGAUGUUUCACUUAAAAGCAGUAUACCUAAUAUGCCAUAUCUUAGUCAUGGUAAUGCUGUCAUAAUAAGUGAACUCAAUGUUGUUUGCUUCUUGUAGACCAUCAUGAGCAUGAUCACACCCAUGACCCUGGUGUUUCCUCUGUAAGCAUUUGUUUGCGAAGGGGAGAUGGAUCUCUAAAAGUAAAAGUGCUGACGUAUGCCGGACGAAGGGACUACUCUCUAUCAGUGGAAUGCCUCAACGCUUUGCUUUUCAGAUCAAGGAUUAUGCGCUUGAUGCUGGAGUGUCACUGGACAAUUGCUUGGCCUGUUCGAAGAUUCGUUGUACGUACAAGCUUAUGCAAGUUUUCCUUUCAGAUUUGCACAAAUGGGGGAACAAAAUUGCUACGUGUUCUGCUGCCCUCUCGUUAUGGACCACUUCCAUGUUAUCCAUCUGCAAGGAGUGUGUAUGACACUUUACAUGGAUCUCCCAACAGAUUGAAUGUGCCGCGCGCGCAUGAACGAGAUCAUGCCGGUCGGCAGGAACCUCGACCGGAAAGAGGAAAGAGCGGGAGCCGGGCUUCCAGGAUUGCCUACUGAAGGAAUAGGCCAGAGACACCAAGUUUCUCCGUUUCUCCUUUUUCGCGGCCGGGGUGGAUCUCCAGUUCCAUGAUUUCGAGCUUUGCGGCUGCGUCCAGAACUUGUUCUUCAAAUGUUGAGGCUGAACUGUAAUUGAA